GAUGCAACGCGAAAAACCUUACCUACCCUUGACAUGGCUGGAAUCCUUGAGAGAUCAGGGAGUGCUCGAAAGAGAACCAGUACACAGGUGCUGCAUGGCUGUCGUCAGCUCGUGUCGUGAGAUGUUGGGUUAAGUCCCGCAACGAGCGCAACCCUUGUCWUUAGUUGGUUCGAAAGGGCACUUUAAUGAGACUGCCGGUGACAAACCGGAGGAAGGUGGGGAUGACGUCAAGUCCUCAUGGCCCUUAUGGGUAGGGCUUCACACGUCAUACAAUGGUACAUACAGAGCGCCGCCAACCCGCGAGGGGGAGCUAAUCGCAGAAAGUGUAUCGUAGUCCGGAUUGUAGUCUGCAACUCGACUGCAUGAAGUUGGAAUCGCUAGUAAUCGCGGAUCAGCAUGAUGCCGUGAAUACGUUCCCGGGCCUUGUACACACCGCCCGUCACAUCACGAAAGUGGAUUGUACUAGAAGUCUGCAGGCUAACCCGCAAGGGAGGCAGCGGCCCAAGGUAUGAUUCAUGAUUGGGGUGAAGUCGUAACAAGGUAACCGU
Molecule: ribosomal RNA, 548 nt
Filed under: uncultured bacterium
Lineage: Bacteria
Description: bacterial SSU rRNA
Rfam family: Bacterial small subunit ribosomal RNA
Source: RNAcentral